Molecule: long non-coding RNA, 555 nt
Filed under: Gossypium raimondii (Peruvian cotton)
Lineage: Eukaryota; Viridiplantae; Streptophyta; Magnoliopsida; Malvales; Malvaceae
Description: long non-coding RNA (GRAI_LNC002470)
Source: RNAcentral
ACCACUUUCUUAUAAUAAACCCGCUUCCUCCCCUUCUUCUCCUCCUUAUUUACCUUCUUCAAACUCCUUGUCGCCAUAGCUCUAGUUACCGCUCUUUUCUCUUCCCCCUUCUUCCUCUUCUUACUCUCCAACGCCUGAGGUGACACCGGAAAAAACGUAGCCUCACCCAAUUUACCCAAAUCUGGGAUUUCCCUUUCCUCACUGAGCUUACAUCUCAAGCUUUUCCGCGUCUUUACACUCUCCUCGUUUCUCAACCCCUUUUUCCUCUUCUCCGGUAACACAACGUCACCAUUCCCCUCACCCAAUUUACCCAGAUCUUCGUUGAGCUUACAUUUAGGGCUUUUCCCCAUCUUUACACUCCCCUCCUCACUCAAUCCCUUUUUCGUCUUCUUACUCUCCAACGCCUCAGGUGACACCGGACAAAACGCAUCCUCAACCACACCAUUCCCUUCACCCACUUUACCCAUUUCUGGGAUUUCCCUAUCCUCCUCAUUGAACUUACAUUUCGGGGCUCUAGGCGUCCUUACACUGGAUUCCUUUCGAUUAUUCCCAGAA